This 291-nucleotide ribosomal RNA is filed under the name Triticum aestivum (bread wheat). RNAcentral's name for it is "partial small subunit ribosomal RNA". The record is from RNAcentral. Lineage: Eukaryota; Viridiplantae; Streptophyta; Magnoliopsida; Poales; Poaceae.
AUGGACGCGGCAAAGGGAAUCCUAGAAUGCUUUGGCGAGGGCACGGGACUUCGCUGCAACUUCGCCAAGAGCUCCAUCUCCUUGAUCCGCUGCAGUGUGGACGACGUGCAGGACAUUGUUCAGGCGGCGGGCUGCGCCGUCAAGGAGUUGCCAAUCACCUAUCUUGGCCUUCCCCUAUCACUGUGUGCCCUGACCCGCACAGAGUUCCAACCACUUGUGGACAGGAUUGCUGCCCAGCUGCCUACAUGGAAGGUCGGCCUCCUCCGUCGGGCGGGCAGACUCACGCUGGUG